GAUGAACGCUGGCGGCGUGCCUAAUACAUGCAAGUCGAGCGAACGGACGAGAAGCUGGCUUCUCUGAUGUUAGCGGCGGACGGGUGAGUAACACGUGGAUAACCUACCUAUAAGACUGGGAUAACUUCGGGAAACCGUAGCUAAUACCGGAUAAUAUUUUGAACCGCAUGGUUCAAAAGUGAAAGACGGUCUUGCUGUCACUUAUAGAUGGAUCCGCGCUGCAUUAGCUAGUUGGUAAGGUAACGGCUUACCAAGGCAACGAUGCAUAGCCGACCUGAGAGGGUGAUCGGCCACACUGGAACUGAGACACGGUCCAGACUCCUACGGGAGGCAGCAGUAGGGAAUCUUCCGCAAUGGGCGAAAGCCUGACGGAGCAACGCCGCGUGAGUGAUGAAGGUCUUCGGAUCGUAAAACUCUGUUAUUAGGGAAGAACAUAUGUGUAAGUAACUGUGCACAUCUUGACGGUACCUAAUCAGAAAGCCACGGCUAACUACGUG
Molecule: ribosomal RNA, 497 nt
Filed under: uncultured bacterium
Lineage: Bacteria
Description: partial 16S ribosomal RNA
Rfam family: Bacterial small subunit ribosomal RNA
Source: RNAcentral